Passer domesticus (house sparrow) is the source of this 2957-nucleotide long non-coding RNA. RefSeq lists it as uncharacterized. The record is from RefSeq and is a predicted model, not a curated record. NCBI's taxonomy places the organism in Eukaryota, Metazoa, Chordata, Aves, Passeriformes, Passeridae. The transcript has 5 exons.
AGGAGCCGGGAUCUCCUGUGAGGAGUCGGGAUCUCCUCCGGGCAGUCGGGAUUUCCUCUGAGGAGCCGGGCUCCCCCUGUGGAGCCGGGAUCAGGGGCUGGGAUCUCCCUGGCAGACCUGGCUUCCCCUGAAAAGCCGGGAUCUCGUCUGUGGAGCGCCAUCUGCCCCGGCGAGCAGCGCUGAGGGGAUGACGGCGGGCCAGCUGCCUUAGGAGAGCUGGUGUCUCUGAUAGCUCAACUUUCAUCCUAAAACUGAUUCCUGAUUUAAAUUACAUCUCUGUGUUUGUACCGCCCUAGAGGAAAUACGGAGUCUGUGUAACCUGCAGUCUGUUUAGGAAUGCAGUUGGUGGACGUGGCUGUCAUUCCGUAAAACCGCAGCAGAACUAUUCUGUCCUGCAGUUUGGGCACCCUCAAUGUACUGGAGUGUCACUAAACCCUUCCCACUCCUCAUGGCACAGAGAAUAACCCAGUACUGAGCAAUACUCAAUACUGAGCCCCAGGAAGAUUGACAUCUAAAGAAAACAUUUGCCUUUUUUCUAAAAUAUUUAAUUAUGAUGGUGCAUCAUCAUUAAAUACAAGCAGGUUUGACUUCCAUACUAGGGACAAGGACUUUAGAAAUCCUUAUGCACAUUGGGGACAGGAGGGGAAGAGGGGACAAGAGAGCAAGGACUUGUGCCAUAUCCAAAUACCCCAUAAAGGAUGGCAGCUUUGCUACAACAGACAGCAAUCCACGAAUCUGUUGCAUGAAUUCUCUUUUCUGUCCUUUGACAAUGGCCAAAGAGACAAACCACCCAGUUCUAGAAAGCCAGCAGCAGAACAAUGAGGGGCAAGCAGCUGGCACAAAAGCUGUCAGAAUGUGCAAACAAGACAAGGAGUCAGAUGUCUGUCUUGUUUCUAUCUGACUUCUUGUGAUUUUGGCUUUGCUAAAUUUUCAUGAGCUUGUUGUGUUUUUGUUUUUGUUUUUUGGUGGUUUUUUUUGUUUGUUUGGUUUUGUUUUGUUUUGUUUUUUUUCCCAUGUGCUGCUGUUUAGCUUCUCCUGAGGAUCAAUAUUGAUAUUGGUGUUUUUUUUCAAUGAGUCACCAGUGAGAGACACAAUUGAUUUUCACUGAGAAUUCCAUAAAAACAGGUGUGUACAGUCAGUGUGCAUCUGCACAGGAUAGGCCAAAAAAGCCCUUUGUCAGAUUACAAAGCAAGGUGAUCCUUCCCCGCUGGUGAGGCCACAUCUGGACUGGUUAUUUGAUAUACCUUUACCAUGCCUUUUUUAUUUCUUUUCUGACUGCUGCUGUUACAGUUUAUUAUGAUGAGAUUUAUUAUCAUAUAUAAGGGUUUCAGUGGCCAUAUAAUUUCUCACCAUCCUCUUUCUGGUCCUCUCAAUCUAUGAAAGAGAGAUGACCAAAAUUGCACAUUUGCCCAGGUGAAGAUGAAUCUUUACAUUUUUUGGUAUGAAAAUGUUUUUGAUAACAUCCUCUGCCCCACACAGAACCUUUUGCUGCUAUGAUGAUCAGAGGUUUAAGCUGAAAAGCCAUAACAAAUCUACUCUGUAGAUAAUUAGUAAGUAGUUAUAUAAAUAUUACAUUUUAUUUCUAAUGGCCAUUACCUAGCACUAAUCUGCCACUCUUUUGUCUCUAGUCCAGAGCAGCACCUUCAAGUUGACACCAGAAACCUGGGUUGGGACUAAAGCACCUCCUCCAAACUCCUCCAAGUAAUGCUGGUAAAGAGGCCUCAACAGAAAGGCAGUCCUGGGAAACUGGGAGGAAGCUUUAAUUUUAAAUUCAGAAUUGUGCCCAAGACAAUGUGAGCUCUGAAGCUGUUGGAAGGAUUUGCAAAGAAAUAUUUGAGUUAUUAAUUACUAAAUGCAGGCAGAUUGUACAGAUACCUGAACCAAUUGGGCAUGAAGAAAUCCGUGUUGCUUUGUUUGCAGCUGCUGUGCCACUGACGUUCAGUUUGUGCCAUUGGAUGUAAUCAGACUCCAGGGCUGAAAACAAGGGGAAAGCAAUGAGACAGAUUUUACAGCCAGGCUGUGGACAUUGAGACAAAGAUGGAUUAAUUGCAACAUCACUGAGAGAAAGAUCAGAGGGAGAACAGAAGCUGGUAGAUUCUAGUCCAAAUCACCUGACUUUAGGUUCACUUACCUGGGGAGAUGGACUGAGCACUGUCAUGAUAACUGUGACCCAGAUUAUUUCUGGAGUUAAAUAAUUCAGUGGAACACAUGCAAUGAAUGGACACUUCCUUUUGCCCUCAGUGUAACUCAGCCAUGUCCAGUUUAUCCCAGAAUUUCCCUAUUGACCUCUGAUGGGCAUGGCAGGCUUUGCUGGUGGGAUCAGGAAUGCACGAGUGCUCGCUCUCUGCAUGCCACCCUGCAGGAUGGCUGCCUAGAAUGUCACACAGCAUUACAGGGCUCUUUUGAAGAGCAGAUGGAGGCUCCUGCUUACCUCAUCUCUCUCUCAUGAGAAGAAUGUGAAGCUUGGUGAAGCAGCCCAGAGCAGCCUGGAGGAAUGCUAAAAUGGCUGUCAAGGGAAGCCAUGGAGGAGAGCUACCCCUGAGUCUCUACAUAUUUCACUGCCACUGCAGAUGAGCAGAUAGCACCCGAGCAAGCAGUCUGGAGCCUGAUGAAAUCUCAUGGGAAUGACGAGUGCAAUUCACAAAAGGAGGAUGGCAUUUCAGACCUUUCCUGCAAUCCACUGACUAUCCUGAAAAAAAUCUUAGUCCACGGGCUGCUGAAAAACUCAUAAACAUACAGAACUAUCAUAAAUCAUUGUUUGGGUUUUAAAGAAAAUACUGUGCUAUGUAAACGUGCAAGGAGAUGCAGACCCUCUAAUAAUGGUGAUACUAAGAAUGAAAAAUAUCUUGUAUUUAAUGCAAAGCUUUUCAUUAUUUGAGCUAUAAAUUGCAGCAAGUGAAAUGUUUUAUGUUAUAUAUUAAGGACCUUGUCCCAGAAAUAAACAUCUUGAAAUUAAA